UACAGAGGUCCCGAGCGUUGUUCGGAUUCACUGGGCGUAAAGGGUGCGUAGGUGGCCGGGAAAGUUUGAUGUGAAAGCUCGGAGCUUAACUCCGAAAUGGCAUUGAAUACUAUCUGGCUUGAGGGUCGGAGGGGAGACUGGAAUUCUCGGUGUAGCAGUGAAAUGCGUAGAUAUCGAGAGGAACACCAGUGGCGAAGGCGAGUCUCUGGACGACACCUGACACUGAGGCACGAAAGCUAGGGGAGCAAACAGG
This 253-nucleotide ribosomal RNA is filed under the name uncultured bacterium. RNAcentral describes it as "partial 16S ribosomal RNA". It matches the Rfam family "Bacterial small subunit ribosomal RNA", at positions 524 to 776 of the family's 1533-position model. The record is from RNAcentral.